RNAcentral lists this ribosomal RNA (812 nucleotides) under Pithecopus hypochondrialis (orange-legged leaf frog). RNAcentral's name for it is "Phyllomedusa hypochondrialis (orange-legged leaf frog) partial 16S ribosomal RNA". The stretch from base 127 to 812 matches the Rfam family "Bacterial large subunit ribosomal RNA", at positions 569 to 1817 of the family's 2925-position model. Lineage: Eukaryota; Metazoa; Chordata; Amphibia; Anura; Hylidae. The record is from RNAcentral.
UUCCAACUAACUUAUUAAAACAUUUUACAGUUAUAGUAAAGGCGAUUGAAACAUCUUUUGAAGUAAUAUUUCUAGUACCGCAAGGGAACAGUGAAAUAAAAAUGAAAUAACUAUCAAGCACCUAAUAGUAGAGACCUCCCCUCGUACCUUUUGCAUCAUGAUUUAACUAGUUUAUCCAAGCAUAAUGCACUAAAGUUUGCCCCCCCGAAACUAAGCGAGCUACUUCGAGGCAGUUCCAAGAACUAACCCGUCUCUGUAGCAAAAGAGUGGGAAGACCUUCAAGUAGAGGUGACAGACCUAACGAGCUUAGUGAUAGCUGGUUACUUGAGAAAAGGAUCUCAGUCCAACCCAACUUUUAUAAAAUACACCUAAAUAAAGACUAAAAUUUGGAGUAAUUCAAAUAAGGUACAGCCUAUUUGAAUCAGGAUACAACCUUUAUAAAUGGGUAAUUAAACUUUUAUGUAAUAAAGUAGGCCUAAGAGCAGCCACCUUCAAAAAGCGUCAAAGCUUAUUCACAAAUCAACUCAAUCCCCCUAAUUUUUAAAAACCCUUAAUCUCUAUUAAGUAGCUCUAUAAAAUUAUAGAACCUAUUAUGUUAAAACUAGUAACAAGAAUAAGAACUUCUCUUUAAUGCAAGCGUAAAUCAGGCUGGACAAACCACUGAUUCUUAACACUUUGAAGCCAGAGUAAUAACUCACCAAGAAAAUCUUACUUCACUUAAUGUUAACCUGACACAAGAGCAUUCUCAGACAGAUUAAAAGGAAUAGAAGGAACUCGGCAAAUAUUAACCUCGCCUGUUUACCAAAAACAUC